This is a long non-coding RNA of Bos indicus x Bos taurus (hybrid cattle), 1119 nucleotides long. The record is from Ensembl. NCBI's taxonomy places the organism in Eukaryota, Metazoa, Chordata, Mammalia, Artiodactyla, Bovidae.
GGACGGGCAUCUGGUGGGUGCCUGAUGGCUGGGCUGGGAGCUGGGCUGGACCCCUGGCCCCGCAUGGGCCUGGCCUGGCCUGGCUCAGGCCGUUGCACCCCGUCCUCGGGUUGCAGCCACCCUGCCAUUGCCACUCCCAGACUCUAUCUUGUUGCCAGAUGUUGCCUGCAGCCUCUGGCCGCAUCUCCGGGUGGGGAGACACGGGCCGGCCCUCGUCACCUUCCAACCUUGAUUGGGGCUGGUCUCCCAGGACGCAAGAGGGCUGGAAGCAGAGCUCUUCACGAUUCCCACGUCAGGCCUUGCAGUGACCCGAGGCACCUGGCUGUCCUGAGUGGCGUGGAUCUGAGCCUGGGGGGAGCUGGGCGCCAACCCCACCUCUGAUGCAACUGGGCCUUCUGGGGCUCUCAGUUCCCUGGCCUCAGCAGCCCCCUGCCCCCUGCUCAUUGGGACCCUGCCGGGGUGAUGUGUGCCGUUUCUGGGUUCCCUCAUAGCCCCCUUCGUCUCCCUGAGGAGGGAGCCUGCUCUGAGAGCCGGGUCCCCUCUGAGGCUCUACAGCAGGUCCUGGCUCCUCUGUCAAGACCCGCGUCCCUGGAACCUCAGUUUCCCUCCCUGGACGGGGCGGCGUCUCCGUCCUCUGCAGGGUUCCAACCGCUGCCUGUCCUGCGUCUCCAUGCCUGGCAGGCCAGACGCCCAUCUAAGAAUUGGGGACCUGCUUCCCUGGUGGGCAAGGCUGCUGUCCUCCGAGGAGGGACCUCACUCUCACAUGCUGGAUGUGCCUGUCCUUCCCCAAGUGACCGGUCCGUAGCAUGACAGCCUCCAGGGGCCCAGCUGAGUCUGCCCGCUCCCAUCGCCUCAAGCCUGGACCUGGCCCAGCCUCUGUCCCCCUGCCCAGCUGGGCCCCACCCCCGGAUGCAGGAGUCUCGGAGGCGCCUCAGGCCUGGCGGUGGAUCCCGAGCCCGGGAGCGGCCGCAUCUGGAAUGGACCUGGCCUGGGUCCAGCGAAGCCAGGGCCCUGAGGUCUGAGCACCACUGGACAGACUCAAGGGCCGCCCUGGAGGUGAGAGACCACCAGGCCCGAGGACACACCCAGGCCCCCGAGGUCCAGCCGGCAGCCCGGCCU